AUUCUUGGAGAUGGUUAUCAAAUGGAAGGGAUUGCAAAUGAGGCGUGUUCACUUGUUGGUCAUUGGGGACUUGGAUAGUUAAUUGCAUUUUAUGAUGACAACCACAUCUCCAUCGAUGGUGACAUAGAGAUCGCCUUCACUGAGAAUGUUGACCAGCGUUUUGAAGCUCUCGGGUGGCACAUAAUUUGGGUGAAGAACGGAAACACCGAUUAUGAUGAAAUCUGUACUGCCAUUAAAGAAGCUAAAGUUGUGACUGAUAAACCUACUUUGAUCAAGGUGACAACAACAAUCGGUUUUGGGUCACCAAACAAGGAGAAUUCGUACAGUGUUCAUGGAGCGGCUUUGGGUGCAAAAAAGUAGAUGCAACUAGACAAAACCUCGGGUGGCCUUACGAGCCAUUCCAUGUACCAAAUAAAGUGAAGAAGCACUGGAGUCGCCAUACCCCAGAGGGUGCCGCUCUUGAAGCAGAACGGAAUGCUAAAUUUGCAGAGUACGAGAAGAAAUACCCUAAAGAGGUUGCUGAAUUCAAAUCUAUUGCUAUCGGUGUAUUGCCUGCCGGAUGGGAGAAGGCUCUUUCGGUUAGUAUAUUCUUUU
This is a long non-coding RNA of Helianthus annuus (common sunflower), 594 nucleotides long. RefSeq lists it as uncharacterized. The record is from RefSeq and is a predicted model, not a curated record. NCBI's taxonomy places the organism in Eukaryota, Viridiplantae, Streptophyta, Magnoliopsida, Asterales, Asteraceae. The transcript has 3 exons.